CCCUAAUUCCUAAACUGUUGGGACCUAAACUCCCAAAAUCAAUACCAACCUUCCUUUUGUAGUCAUUAACAUUGUGUUUAAAUUUCAUUGAUUUCUAUUUACUUAAACUAAUGUUAUUGUGCGAAAACCAAGAAUAAUGCUUAUUUGGGCCCUUUUUUGGCCCCUAAUUCCUAAACUGUUGAGACCAAAACUCCCAAAAUCAAUCCCAACCGUUCUUUUGUGGUCGUAAACCUUGUGUCAAAAUUUCAUAGAUUUCUAUUAACUUAAACUAAAGUUAUAGUGCGAAAACCAAGAAAAUGCUUAUUUGGGCCCUUUUUGGCCCCUAAUUCCUAAAAUGUUGGGACCAAAACUCCCAAAAUCAAUACCAACCUUCCUUUUGUGGUCAUAAACCUUGUGUUAAAAUUUCAUAGAUUUCCAUUCACUUUUACUAAAGUUAGAGUGCGAAAACUAAAAGUAUUCGGACGCCGGACGACGACGACGACGACGACGACGACGACGACGCCGACGCCAACGUGAUAGCAAUAUACGACGAAAAUUUUUUCAAAAUUUGCGGUCGUAUAAAAACAGCAAAAUUUCUUUAAAAUUACCAAUUCAGGGGCAGCAACCCAACAAAAGGUUG
This 619-nucleotide long non-coding RNA is filed under the name Mytilus galloprovincialis (Mediterranean mussel). Lineage: Eukaryota; Metazoa; Mollusca; Bivalvia; Mytilida; Mytilidae. The record is from RNAcentral.